UGUGACGGCUAGUCCUAUAGUUCUGGAGAUAUUACCAGCUUUAUUGAGAUAUUAUAGUCCCAUUGGAACUAUGGAACUCCACAAUAAACAUACAGACUUGGAAGUGUCUCCUAUUGAUUCUCGUGGCUCUUGCUGCCAACCCAAAUGUACUUUGGAUCGAAGCCUUAAUGAUUCAAGUGCUACCUGUGUCUGCACUAAUGAUACCUUUCCACUGCCCAGGCCUCAGAUGCGGCGGCAACUAAGACAGGAUUGCCUUGUGGUCGUCUGCUAAUAAGGAAAGGAAAUGCGAGUAAUGUGGAAUCCUGCUCCCAUAAAAUAUUCUGCCCAGUUUUAUAAAUCCAGGAAGUUUGGCUACUUCAAGUAAGUUUUGGAGAAGCACCAGUCAGGCUUUGAAUGCCCAAAGUGAACCCAGAGUCCAGACUGUGGUGUGUGCAACUUGUUAUAACUUGCUUUCUGUCACUUCCUGCACUUUGACAUUCCCCCACCCCAAGCUUUGAAAUCCAUUUCUGACUCUGCCACAAGGAAGGAAGUAAAGCCAUUUAUUGCUUCUCUGCAGCUAUUUCUACUGAACAAAUAAGGUUGCCACCCGGUUGGUGUUUUCUCUCUCUCUCUUUUAAUUAAGCAUGGUCUUUUCUGGGUUGGAGCCUUUUAUUCUUUAUCUCCGCUGCCAUUUAUUUAGGUCCUUGCUCCAUUCCUGUUUCAACCCCUGUGGGUUCAAUAUAUUCCUACCUCUUAUUAUGUAUUACAUUUCAUUCCUAUCCUGCUCCAUGGCAGAGAUUCUGAGCAAUAUGCAAAAUGUUUUACAAUAUUACAUGUUAUUAAAAAAUAACUAAAGACUGGGACUUUCCUAUUCACAGUGUUCUUUUUGGGAGGGUGUGCCAUCUCUUCCACAGGGCUGACUCAAGAUAUCUCACUGCCUGAAGUGAAGCUGCCUUCAUCCCCAUUUCACAUAUUGAAUGAGAGUUGCAUACCCCUCAAUUGUCCCAAUUUGAGUGGGGCAUCCUGGAAUCACAGAAGCUAUCCCAGCUUCUCAUUGGAUCCUGGAAAGCCGUGGUUUUCUCAUCUGCUUGCUCAUCCCAAGCACCAGACCAAAAGACACUCAUUUCUUCGUUUUAUGCUCUCAUGCAGCCCUCAUGCUAGCUCCCGCAAGAGCUUGGGACCAAAAAACGAGCAACCCAAUUUUGAUCACUGGAAUGUUGGAGGGUAUUUGUUACUUCGACACUGAUGACUGGUGGGGAACAUCUGCUACACCUGAGGGUAGCAGGUUAGUUUAGGGGGCACAGGUGCGCGACACACACAAUUCUGCCCUCCAACAGAGGUGGAAUGAUCAGGAAGCUGUUGCCACUCCCCCCACCUAGCUUCCACUCCCUCACCAGCUACCUCACUCUGCCAGAUGGUAGGGCCAGUCCUUCCCCAGAUGUAUUUUUCAUCUGGCUAGUGGCUGUUACUAUUGCAUUUGCUUUUGCUCCUGCAACCAAAGAGUAGAGGCCAAUGCUGCAGAGGAGAAUCAAGGUCCCAGUUGCUAUUUGUCCUUUGGACAAUGGCUGGGCCAAGCUGACCUCCCCUCACUAAUGAUAUCCACCCACCCCCAUGACUCUGUAAAGUAGGCUAGGGGCAACAGGAGGAAGAUAUUUGCCUAGAGCUCUGCAGUAAGCAUAAUAAGUUGGCUGAGCUUUCAACCUGAGUUGCAUAGAAUAGGCUUACAUGAGUACAUUAUUCUGCAAUAACAAUCCCUGAACAAACUUCAUUGCAUAUUAUAUUCAAGGAAAGAACAAGGAGUUAAGAGUGAGUCAGCAACCCUGGCAAAAUUAGGGUGAUUAAUUCUAUAAGCAACAGAAAAGUUGGCACUCAGGAGAGUUUAAGCUCCAGAGAGGAGUACAGCAACCUACGUGUAACUGCCAUAUGUGUCUUCUGUAUACAUAGAAAUGAAAGGGAGUUUUUGGAGCUAGCUAACAGAAGUGGUUUAGGGCUUCAGGCGAACUGCUGUGGCUUUAGCACUGAUGCUUCUUUGGAGCUAGACCUACCUGCAUGUAUGCCUGCCUACUUUCUAAGGAUGGCUGAGUACGUCAAUUUUGGUUUCUCUCUGGUUUCUCAUUUUCCCAUUAUUAAGUUUAGUUUGUGACGUUUCUAUAUCAGUGAGCAUUUUUAAAAUAAGCCUUCAAGAAAAUUUGUCAGCAAAUUUCUCCUAAAAUUGCACAUGUUUAUAUUGCAAUUUUUUAUAAUAUGCAUAUUUUCCCAAUAGGAUGCAUUUUAAAUGUUAUUUUCAACAAUAUAUGCAUUUUUAUAAACACUUUAGUAUAUGUAGUUUUGUACACAUUAACCUCCGCUGCCUUGUGGGAUAGCUUUGAGAGAAGAAAAGGCUAAGAAGUAAACCCUACACAAAUUCAGAGUGGCGUCCCCAAGAUGGUUGGGGCAACUCCUGCAACCAAGCUGGUGCCAAAUGUAUUGUUCUGCUUUUCUUUAGACUACAUCAGUAAGGCGGAGAGGCGAGUCUGCCAUCUGGGCAGCCCAGGAUCACCAUACACACUGCCCAGGCUUUCACUCCAGGGAAGUCACUUUGGUGUUGCUGAUGUAGUACUUUGACUUCAC
This is a non-coding RNA of Podarcis lilfordi (Lilford's wall lizard), 2589 nucleotides long. The record is from the annotation of a GenBank genome assembly. Lineage: Eukaryota; Metazoa; Chordata; Lepidosauria; Squamata; Lacertidae.